This 287-nucleotide long non-coding RNA is filed under the name Panax ginseng (ginseng). Its description in RNAcentral is "long non-coding RNA (PGIN_LNC016223)". Lineage: Eukaryota; Viridiplantae; Streptophyta; Magnoliopsida; Apiales; Araliaceae. The record is from RNAcentral.
UUUGAGGACUAAAAGACAAAAAAAAUAUAAUUGUUAAACAUUCAAGCCUCAGCCUGUCAUAGCCGGUCACUUUUGAUCGGCUAAUUGGUAAAAGUGUGCGUUUUGUAACGCAAUAUUAAGUUUGGGGUGUACUUAGAUAUCUUUUUAAGUUUGGGGUGCACAAAUAAAUAAGAAGUAAACUUUGGAGUACAUUUUGUCUUUUAGUCUAACAUAUAUUGACUGGUAAUGCUGCUUUUAUUAUAUAUAUAUAUAUAUAUAUAUAUAUAUAUAUAUAUAUAUAUAUAUAN